UACGUAGGGGGCUAGCGUUGUCCGGAAUCAUUGGGCGUAAAGAGCGUGUAGGCGGCCCGGUAAGUCCGCUGUGAAAGUCGGGGGCUCAACCCUCGAAAGCCGGUGGAUACUGUCGGGCUAGAGUGCGGAAGAGGCGAGUGGAAUUCCUGGUGUAGCGGUGAAAUGCGCAGAUAUCAGGAGGAACACCGGUGGCGAAGGCGGCAUCCUGGACAGGUAUUGACGCUGAGGAGCGAAAGCCAGGGGAGCAAACGGG
Molecule: ribosomal RNA, 253 nt
Filed under: uncultured bacterium
Lineage: Bacteria
Description: partial 16S ribosomal RNA
Rfam family: Bacterial small subunit ribosomal RNA
Source: RNAcentral